GACGAACGCUGGCGGCGUGCUUAACACAUGCAAGUCGAACGGAAAGGCCCUGCUUUUGUGGGGUGCUCGAGUGGCGAACGGGUGAGUAACACGUGAGUAACCUGCCCUUGACUUCGGGAUAACUUCAGGAAACUGGGGCUAAUACCGGAUAGGAGCUCCUGCUGCAUGGUGGGGGUUGGAAAGUUUCGGCGGUUGGGGAUGGACUCGCGGCUUAUCAGCUUGUUGGUGGGGUAGUGGCUUACCAAGGCUUUGACGGGUAGCCGGCCUGAGAGGGUGACCGGCCACAUUGGGCCUGAGAUACGGCCCAGACUCCUACGGGAGGCAGCAGUGGGGAAUAUUGCACAAUGGGCGGAAGCCUGAUGCAGCAACGCCGCGUGCGGGAUGACGGCCUUCGGGUUGUAAACCGCUUUCGCCUGUGACGAAGCGUGAGUGACGGUAAUGGGUAAAGAAGCACCGGCUAACUACGUG
This 468-nucleotide ribosomal RNA is filed under the name uncultured bacterium. Its description in RNAcentral is "partial 16S ribosomal RNA". It matches the Rfam family "Bacterial small subunit ribosomal RNA", at positions 28 to 507 of the family's 1533-position model. The record is from RNAcentral.